AGAAUCAACGCUGGCGGCGUGCCUAACACAUGCAAGUCGAACGAGAAAGGGGAGCAAUCCCUGAGUAAAGUGGCGCACGGGUGAGUAACACGUGACUAACCUACCCUGGAGUGGGGGAUAACUGAGGGAACCUUAGCUAAUACCGCAUAACACCUACGGGUCAAAGGAGCAAUUCGCUUUGGGAGGGGGUCGCGGCCGAUUAGUUAGUUGGCGGGGUAAUGGCCCACCAAGACAGUGAUCGGUAU
Molecule: ribosomal RNA, 245 nt
Filed under: uncultured bacterium
Lineage: Bacteria
Description: partial small subunit ribosomal RNA
Rfam family: Bacterial small subunit ribosomal RNA
Source: RNAcentral